Molecule: ribosomal RNA, 490 nt
Filed under: uncultured bacterium
Lineage: Bacteria
Description: partial 16S ribosomal RNA
Rfam family: Bacterial small subunit ribosomal RNA
Source: RNAcentral
AUUGAACGCUGGCGGCAGGCCUAACACAUGCAAGUCGAACGGUAACAGGAAGAAGCUUGCUUCUUUGCUGACGAGUGGCGGACGGGUGAGUCAUGUCUGGGAAACUGCCUGAUGGAGGGGGAUAACUACUGGAAACGGUAGCUAAUACCGCAUAACGUCGCAAGACCAAAGAGGGGGACCUUCGGGCCUCUUGCCAUCGUAUGUGCCCAGAUGGGAUUAGCUAGUAGGUGGGGUAACGGCUCAACUAGGCGACGAUCCCUAGCUGGUCCGAGAGGAUGACCGGCCACACUGGAACUGAGACACGGUCCAGGCUCCUACGGGAGGCAGCAGUGGGGAAUAUUGCACAAUGGGCGCAAGCCUGAUGCAGCCAUGCCGCGUGUAUGAAGAAGGCCUUCGGGUUGUAAAGUACUUUCAGCGGGGAGGAAGGGAGUAAAGUUAAUACCUUUACUCAUUGACGUUACCCGCAGAAGAAGCACCGGCUAACUCCGUG